This 707-nucleotide long non-coding RNA is filed under the name Callithrix jacchus (white-tufted-ear marmoset). RNAcentral's name for it is "lncRNA (ENSCJAG00000078191.1)". Lineage: Eukaryota; Metazoa; Chordata; Mammalia; Primates; Cebidae. The record is from RNAcentral.
AAGGUGAAGAAUUCAGUUCUUAAAUACACAGUGCUUGUUAACCUAUCUAGAAAAGGAAACGGUCAACUGGAGACUUUGGUUUGUUGCAGAAGCUGUUGGUUUUGAUCUGUUCCUCCUUGGCACCAGGGGAGGUUAGGAAGAGCGAAUCUAAACAAGAUUGGCAAAGCUGGAGUGCAGUGGCACAAUCUCAGCUCACCACAACCUCUGUCUCUCGGGUUCAAGAGAUUCUCCUGCCUCUGCCUCCCACAUAGCUGGGACUACAGAAAGCUUCACAUGUGAGAUAAAUGCACUCAAAGAUUCCUCACAAGUAGCUCUUUGGAGCUUCAGAUGUGAAAUGGAUCAUUCCUCAAUCUGUAAUAGACCCUUCUGUGAAGCUCUUCAAUCAAACUAGAGAAUUCAAGGUGAAAUUGAGGGGAGGAUUGGAAACCCCUACAGGGGGAUUUGAGUGAACUAGCUGAGAAAGGAACCUGAGGUAUUUGCCCUGUGCUGCCUCUUUUUUCAGUUCUUUUCUUCAGCCUAGGAAGGCUGUCAAUCAACAUAUGACCUUACAUGCUGUAUGUGCAUAAUACCUGGGUACAACAAGACAAGCUGUAAGGGGAGUAUCAAAUGCACCUUUGAUUUCUUUCCAUUUGUCACUUUUCUGACAACUCUUAGGCUAUUUUUAAAGUAGCUAUUUUAUACAGAUUUGUUAUUAGAUUUUUCUCUCU